UCUUGGUUCAAGUAGCUCCGCAGCAUUUCAAAGAACGUAUGGAGAGGUUCCUGACUUGCCUCUGUAGAGCUAUAUAUCGACAAGUACCCUUGUUCACAACUUAUGAGAUCCAUAUUGUUAUUCUCUAUAACAUAGAUCUGAAAACUGAAGCUCGAAGGCUGGCACUGCUCUUUGAGGCGGACAUCACACCCUGACAGCUCUGCCCAGCCCUUGGGGUAGAGAGGGGUCUUAUGAAGGGACGCAGGAUGGCCACCUCCCUUCCUGAGUGCUUUCCACCACAAAUUCCAACAUCCGCAUUGCCUCUCCUGAAAUCAGCAGGAGCCCAGGUUUCAGAAUGCGUGACAAUUUCAAGGAGAAAGAAGGAAGAGAGGGUGAAUGAAUGAGCUGGGGUACACUUCCUAUAACAUACAAAGGGAAAAUGAGAACUUGUCAUGGAUAAAACAUUCAGAUUUACUAUGAAAAUAGUAAUGUUUCUCAAUUGGUGUACUAAGUAUAUACAAUCAGCAUUUGCCCCUCAAAUCAAAAGAAGGCAGCAUAGUCUCACUUGAAGAGGGAAAGUGGGUAUUAAAAGCUGCUUUUCUUCAUGCUCCCUGUCCAAAUGGCUUCAGAUGUCUGGGACGGUCUCAUGAAAUUAGUCCGUCCUUUGCUUCCUGGUAGAGUUCCCCCUUCACCUUAUGGAACAACAUUCCUAAUGCUAAAAAUAACUGGAGUGUGAGUCCAAGACUUCCAUGUUGGUCAUCUCAUGUACCUGGCAGUACUGUGGAGUCCUCCUCUCACUCAUCUCUAAUAACAGAGUAUCAUCAAGCCUCACCAAAGUUGCUUCCUUGAUAAUUACCCCUGAUUAUAACACCCUAUGUCACAGUUAUAGGCUUGCCAAAUGUUAAACUGACUUUGUGCAGUGGCUCCAUGAUAUAAACAACUAUGAUACACUUUUCUCAUAGGAGGUGUUUUGUUGUUUUAUUUGUGGAGGCAAGGAACAAAAUGAGGCAAAACCGUCAAAUUGUCUUCCAAGUAAAUUACUUCUCUAAUAGAAAUUAGGGUCCAAGUUCAAGUCAUAACUAUAACUAGCCACAUAGUUUUGUUCAAGUCAUUCUACACUGCUGGGCUUAAUUUUCUCCACUUGGAAAAUGAAUGUGCAUAUGAGGGGGAUAAUAUUCCAGUGAUAAAUUGUGGAAGCAGUAGAAAUAGCAAACUGGGGAACAAUCUUACCUGAAUGUGUUGAGUGUGAAUAUGAGUAUGUUGAAGCACAUAAAUAUAGGGAAUGUAUUUGGGUUCUGUUUUUGCUUCCAUGACUGAUUCCUUCUGAGUCGUGGGGCAUUUAUUCAGUUUCUGCAUGCAUUCACUCAU
Long non-coding RNA from Manis javanica (Malayan pangolin), 1347 nucleotides. RefSeq lists it as uncharacterized. NCBI's taxonomy places the organism in Eukaryota, Metazoa, Chordata, Mammalia, Pholidota, Manidae. The record is from RefSeq and is a predicted model, not a curated record.